This 404-nucleotide ribosomal RNA is filed under the name Brucella melitensis. RNAcentral describes it as "partial 16S ribosomal RNA". It matches the Rfam family "Bacterial small subunit ribosomal RNA", at positions 355 to 776 of the family's 1533-position model. RNAcentral also lists the same sequence under 1 other name. Lineage: Bacteria; Pseudomonadati; Pseudomonadota; Alphaproteobacteria; Hyphomicrobiales; Brucellaceae. The record is from RNAcentral.
UGGGGAAUAUUGGACAAUGGGCGCAAGCCUGAUCCAGCCAUGCCGCGUGAGUGAUGAAGGCCCUAGGGUUGUAAAGCUCUUUCACCGGUGAAGAUAAUGACGGUAACCGGAGAAGAAGCCCCGGCUAACUUCGUGCCAGCAGCCGCGGUAAUACGAAGGGGGCUAGCGUUGUUCGGAUUUACUGGGCGUAAAGCGCACGUAGGCGGACUUUUAAGUCAGGGGUGAAAUCCCGGGGCUCAACCCCGGAACUGCCUUUGAUACUGGAAGUCUUGAUUAUGGUAGAGGUGAGUGGAAUUCCGAGUGUAGAGGUGAAAUUCGUAGAUAUUCGGAGGAACACCAGUGGCGAAGGCGGCUCACUGGACCAUUACUGACGCUGAGGUGCGAAAGCGUGGGGAGCAAACAGG